This 468-nucleotide ribosomal RNA is filed under the name uncultured bacterium. RNAcentral's name for it is "partial 16S ribosomal RNA". It matches the Rfam family "Bacterial small subunit ribosomal RNA", at positions 28 to 507 of the family's 1533-position model. The record is from RNAcentral.
GACGAACGCUGGCGGCGUGCUUAACACAUGCAAGUCGAACGGAAAGGCCCUGCUUUUGUGGGGUGCUCGAGUGCCGCACGGGUGAGUAUCACGUGUGUAACCUGUCCUUGACUUUGGGAUAACUUCAGGAAACUGGGGCUAAUACCGGACAUAAGCUCCUGCUGCACGGUGGGGGUUGGAAAAUUUCGGCGGUUGGGGAUGGACUCGCGGCUUAUCAGCUUGUUGGUGGGGUAGUGGCUUACCAAGUCUUUGACGGGUAGCCGGCCUGAGAGGGUGACCGGCCACAUUGGGACUGAGAUACGGCCCAGACUCCUACGGGAGGCAGCAGUGGGGAAUAUUGCACAAUGGGCGGAAGCCUGAUGCAGCAACGCCGCGUGCGGGAUGACGGCCUUCGGGUUGUAAACCGCUUUGGCCUGUGACGAAGCGUGAGUGACGGUAAUGGGUAAAGAAGCACCGGCUAACUACGUG